UGAGGAAUAUUGCACAAUGGGCGCAAGCCUGAUGCAGCAACGCCGCGUGCGGGACGAAGGCCUUCGGGUCGUAAACCGCUUUUCUGGGGAAAGAGCAAGGACGGUACCUCAGGAAUAAGUCUCGGCUAACUACGUGCCAGCAGCCGCGGUAAAACGUAGGAGGCGAGCGUUAUCCGGAUUUACUGGGCGUAAAGCGCACGCAGGCGGCUCUGCGAGUCGGACGUGAAAGCUCCCGGCUUAACCGGGAGAGGCCGUUCGAUACUGCGGGGCUUGAGGUAGGGAGAGGAAUGCGGAAUUCCCGGUGUAGUGGUGGAAUGCGUAGAUAUCGGGAGGAACACCUGUGGCGAAAGCGGCAUUCUGGCCCUCACCUGACGCUGAGGUGCGAAAGCGUGGGUAGCAAACA
This 403-nucleotide ribosomal RNA is filed under the name uncultured bacterium. RNAcentral describes it as "bacterial SSU rRNA". It matches the Rfam family "Bacterial small subunit ribosomal RNA", at positions 355 to 774 of the family's 1533-position model. The record is from RNAcentral.